GCAACAGCAAGCACCAGCCCCUGGAGCUGGUUUCCAGGAGGGCUCAGGGAUUGGCGGCAUGAUGGGCAGGCUCCAGCAUGGCUGCAGACGCAGGGGCUGCCUGACGGGCUGGGCAUGGGGAUGUGGCUCAAUGCACCCAAAAUGCCUGGAAUCAGAGGGAGUGAGACAGGGAGGAUGCAUGAGCAAGAGAAGCCAACUUCAGGGGCAUGCAUACUGUGAUACCCUCAGUGGUUUCUUUUACAAUGUGUUCUGCUCCAGCCAGGGAAUUUUAUUUAACUGA
RNAcentral lists this long non-coding RNA (280 nucleotides) under Serinus canaria (Common canary). RNAcentral describes it as "lncRNA (ENSSCAG00000011604.1)". The record is from RNAcentral. Lineage: Eukaryota; Metazoa; Chordata; Aves; Passeriformes; Fringillidae.